This 423-nucleotide ribosomal RNA is filed under the name uncultured bacterium. Its description in RNAcentral is "bacterial SSU rRNA". It matches the Rfam family "Bacterial small subunit ribosomal RNA", at positions 105 to 526 of the family's 1533-position model. The record is from RNAcentral.
GGUGAGUAAUGCCUAAGAAUCUGCCUGGUAGUGGGGGAUAACGUUCGGAAACGGACGCUAAUACCGCAUACGUCCUACGGGAAAAAGCAGGGGACCUUCGGGCCUUGCGCUAUCAGAUGAGCCUAUGUCGGAUUAGCUAGUUGGUGGGGUAAUGGCUCACCAAGGCUACAAUCCCUAACUGGUCUGAAAGGAUGAUCAGUCCACUGGAACUGAGACACGGUCCCACUCCUACUGGAGGCAGCAGUGGGGAAUAUUGGACAAUGGGCGAAAGCCUGAUCCAGCCAUGCCGCGUGUGUGAAGAAAGUCUUCCGAUUGUAAAGCACUUUAAGUUGGGAGGAAGGGUUGUAGAUUAAUACUCUGCAAUUUUGACGUUACCGACCGAAUAAGCACCGGCUAACUCUGUGCCACCAGCCGCGGUAAUAC